UACGUAGGGGGCAAGCGUUGUCCGGAUUUAUUGGGCGUAAAGCGCGCGUAGGCGGUUUGGUAGGUCCGAUGUGAAAACUCGAGGCUCAACCUCGAGACGCCGGUGGAAACCAUCAGGCUAGAGUCCGGAAGAGGAGAGUGGAAUUCCUGGUGUAGCGGUGAAAUGCGCAGAUAUCAGGAAGAACACCCGUGGCUAAGGCGGCUCUCUAGUACGGUACUGACGCUGAGACGCGAAAGCGUGGGGAGCGAACAGG
This 253-nucleotide ribosomal RNA is filed under the name uncultured bacterium. Its description in RNAcentral is "partial 16S ribosomal RNA". It matches the Rfam family "Bacterial small subunit ribosomal RNA", at positions 524 to 776 of the family's 1533-position model. The record is from RNAcentral.